UAUUGCUCAGAGAAUACAAAUAUUAUCAAUUUAUACAUUAUAAUCAUAUUAUUAUGUUACAUGCUAUAGUGUAUUCCAUGUUCGUUAUGUGCAUAUUGUUUUGGACUUUGCACCUGGAAUACCUAAUGACUUGCGCAUUGUUGAUUGUUUUCCGAAUGGAAAACUUUCGUAGUUCUUAAUAAAUUUUAAUUAGUCACCACGGGAUUAUCGACACGAGCUCUCUAAGUGUUCACUUGCUGUGCAAGCUAGCUUAAAAGUAUAUUUAGACGAGACCCCCAAAUAUUGCCAGAUUCCGAUAUGAAUACUACAUGAUAUCCCAUUAAGGCGACCAGGCUGAUUCCGAGGCUGAUUGCCAAUUCUGUGCAAUUGAAUGGGUCUGCUUUCGCAUUGCCUUCUUCUGCAGGGGCCUCCAUUCCAUUCCAUUCAAUUCAAUUCAGAUUUCAGAUGUUUUCUUUAC
Molecule: long non-coding RNA, 457 nt
Filed under: Drosophila guanche
Lineage: Eukaryota; Metazoa; Arthropoda; Insecta; Diptera; Drosophilidae
Source: RNAcentral